AUGACUUUGCUUCGGAACCGGAGGCUCGGAGCUGAGGGUGACGCACGGGAACCAGUAUCUACGUUUGCCGUCCCUGUGUCCGUCGUCGAUCAUAGCCCCUCCUGGUCGCACAACAGAGUUCCAUGGCCGCCUCCCCACCUCAGCCCCCCCGGUCCCCGGCGGCUCCCCGCUCGUCCUCACCCCCUCCCUCUCUUUCUCUCUCCCCCCGCCGCCACCGUCGACCCCCACGGCUGGUUCGCCGCCUUCCUCCUCUUCGCCAUCGACGUGGACGUUGGCGUGCGCGCGCGGGCGGCAGAGCUUGCUGUCCGGCUGCGUGGCGCGCCCGUGUUGUACUGCCUGAAGAGCUCUAUCCGGAGGAGUACGAGGAGACGCGUGAUCCGCCGGCGCCGUCUUCCCUCUUCCCUCUUUCCAUCCCUCCUGCUCGCCAGCGGCUCCUCCUCCCCUGCCUCCUCACGUCGCCCUCAGGUCCGAGGCAACGAGUUUGCUUCCUCUGCUCCGUUCAUGUCAUUGAGGGGCUGCUCUUUGAUUCAGAGUAAAAUCAGAUCUUCACCUAUAGAGGAGUGUGUACCUCUAGAUUCUGCAUCAUUAGUGAGCAACUUACCUAAGUUCUCUGACUCAUCUGAUUGGGGUUUGGGUAUACCAGUGUUGGUUGGAGUGUUGGUUGCAUCCUCGUUGAGCUAUGCUCGUUUAUCAGCUCAGAAAUAUUUUAGGCGAGGGACACGUCUAAAUUGGCCUGAAGGUGCUGUUACAAGAGAAAGCAUCAGAGCAGUCAGGAAACUACACCGGCUAAAGGAAACUAAGCUGGAUGGUGAGAACGCUGAUGUUGUGGUUACUGGAGAUGAGAAGAACGUGCAGUCUGACCAAACCUAG
RNAcentral lists this ribosomal RNA (870 nucleotides) under Triticum aestivum (bread wheat). RNAcentral's name for it is "partial small subunit ribosomal RNA". Lineage: Eukaryota; Viridiplantae; Streptophyta; Magnoliopsida; Poales; Poaceae. The record is from RNAcentral.